This 3791-nucleotide long non-coding RNA is filed under the name Xyrichtys novacula (pearly razorfish). The record is from RNAcentral. Lineage: Eukaryota; Metazoa; Chordata; Actinopteri; Labriformes; Labridae.
GGCUCCUUUUGACAAUGGCAUAACUGGAAAAAUUAAAAUUAUACAAAAAUGAUUAUGAACGGCUUACUGACCAACAUCAAUGGUAGAACUCAUUUACAUGUAAACAACAGCCUACCAUUACACUUUAAUGCUGUUGAAUACAAGUUACACAACCUUAAAACAAGGAAGCCUAAAAUGAGGGGAGAGAAUCACGGUACGUCUUGUUGUGGAAAGUCCAGCAUAAACAAUGCACAGGAGACAGGAUGAGAUCUGAAGAACAGCCUGGGGCGUCUUUAAUAGUACAGAUGUAGAAAUCAGUACAGAUGACAAACAGAGACUCGACCAAGACCCAAGGAAGCUUCCCUAGCUUUACUUCUACUCUCUUUUAUCCUGUGUGAGUGUGGGUGUGUGUGUAUGUGUAUGUGUAUGUGUAUUCUCCAGAAGGCCCCUCAUGAUGACAUGUUUUUGACACAGAACAAAACAGACACACACAAACAUCCAAUCAACCCACACACUUCACUUUUUCAUCACACAAUGGUAUACCCUUUCACACGUGUUUGAAGUCAAAGUCAGUCACUGGAGUCAGUCAGCAGUCUUCUAUUUUAAUUCUUGUUUUGAUUUCUUCAAUUUUUCCAAUUUGUGUGAUUUUUUCAAUUUGUGUGAUUCUUCUACAAUUGGUCAGGAGAUAUGGGACGUGCUUGUUCAAUUGGGAUCCCUGAAUAGGCUUUUCAGCCUAUCCUUAUUGACGUCUUUUUCUAUCUCCUGCUCAUCAAGCCAAUCUGUAUCUCUCAGAGCUCAUGAAAAAUUGCCCAAAACUCACAGUUCAACAAUGGACAGACACACUCGUGCCUGCCACUCCCCUUGUUAUCCCAAAAAUUACCCAGAACCUUUUAUCACCAGGCAUUCAGCCUAAAAACACAUCACAACCCGGGCCAGGCUGUCUCCCCGAACUACUGGCCAGUGCUUCUCUGCACCCAGUCUAGCUAGUUCCACUUAACUACUGGCCUUGUGCCUCUCUGCACCCAGUCUACUAGCUUCACAUACACAGCGUGAGGCGAUUCUCACACAUUGAAGGAGACGAAAUGCGUCUGCACCCAGUCUAUAGUUUCACAUAUGACAAUCUCAAACCUAUAGCAGCAUGAGGCAAUCUCACACUCUGAAGGAGACGAAGUGCUUCUGCACCCAGCCUAUAGCUUCUCACACAUGCAGCAGCCAAUAGCUCUACAUAUGGCAUCCCUCACAUGCAGCAGCCUAUAGCUUCACAUGUGGCAAUCUCACACACGUAACAGCAUGAGGCGAUAUCACCCUUUGAAGGAGACGAAGUGCUUCUCUGCACCCAGUCUGCUAUCUUCACAUAGUCUCAGACAUAUAGCAGCGUGGAGCAGCCUCACACUUUAAAGGAGACGAAGUGCCUUUCUGCACCCAGUCUACUAUCUUCACAUAGUCUCACGCAUGUAGCAGCGUGAGGCGGUCUGACACAACCAACUGCAGUUUCUCUUAAUUCAGCUGAUAUAUAUCCAAUUUAAAUUGACUUCCUCUCCCAAAUUUAGCACACUUUGAUCAGCUGACUGCAUGCAUGCAGUUUUCUCAGACUGUCUUCAUUCCCACUUCAUCCCCACCUGCAAAACACUAACUUAUAGGAAGAUGCUUUGCUACUUGCGCUUAUGAGCUUUCACAAUCAAAAGCACUGUGAUAAAUCUUUCACUGCAUGAAUUACUAACUUACAAAGCUAUGCUUUACUGCGGCUAAACAAUUAAGUUUUUCGCUUGAGCAGCUGAAAAUUAGUGAAUUAAAUAUAUGAGGCAGCUAACUACGAUGCAAGAUAUAUGGAUUAGCAGGAGGAGUGCCAAAAUCUGAUCCCAGUCAAGAGGUGGAGGCCAGUCAAGCCAGAGCACCAGGUGUACAUCACCGUCCUUUGAGGAAGGUGGCACAAAGAACGAGGAGAAGACCUAAACACUUUGGUCCUGGUGAACUCUACUUCAGUGCAAGAAGAGGGCAAUAAGAUGUGGCGUCAUCUACCACUGACUGCCCAGAAAAACAAGGGAAGUAUGACUUGAUAAGAGACACUCCCAGAGUGACUGUAGCACUCGUCCUGAAAGUAAGAAAGUUACUGUUUUCCUAGUGUUGUUGUUGGACAAUGUGUGGAGAGAGACCGAGAGAGAGACUGAUGACAACAAUGAGGGUGAAGGUCAAACUGAUGCCAGAACAGCUGUGAGAAGAAGAAGUCGGAGACAUUGUUAUCGAGGGUGAGUAAGAUGCAACCCAAAACACAAUCCACACCACUCCAGACAGAGCUAGAACCCAUGCCAACAUUCACAGAUUAUUACAAAUAAGAGAACUGUUUUUUUUUUGUUUUUUUUUUAACCUAAAGUUAAGCAAUUAUGUGACAGAAAUUAUUGUUUGAUUUGAUUUGUUAAUUAUUCAGUGAAGAUGUUUAGAUUAAAGGAUAUUUACAUGUAACAAGUCCACUAACAUGUCAAUACAGACAAGCAGUAAAUUGGGUAUUUGAAGAGAAAAGAUGUGUCUUAAAAGGUUGGAAAGUACUGUUGCGGAUACAUUUCUAACAAAACAAGCCCCUGGGGGAGGUUUUUCUAAAGCUAUUAAGGGUAAAGAAAAGUUUAAAGUGGAAAUGCAGGAGAAUGCUGGUAAGGGGGGCCUGUUAAUGGACUGGGUAGUCCAAAUUUUAGAUGAAUGAGAGCCGUUUUGGCCCAGCCAUGAGUGCUGCGAUAGCCCUAAUUCUGAUUUCCUUUCUCACAUGUCGCAUCGUACACAUCCUUUGGAGACAUUGUUGGAAGCUGACGGAGGAGAUGGGACUUAUGGUGGACCUAACACUGGCCCAUGAACUACAGGAAAUGCCACCAAAACAGCUGGCACAGUGUGUGAUUAAUCAAGGAGGGACUGAGGGACCUGAACGGUUCCUGGACUUUGAUGGAGACGAAGAUGAGCAAUGGACUUUGAGCAACACAAACAACAUAUUCAAUGAGCUGGAAAUAUUGAACUGAACAUGUUUCAUUCACAGAGUUAAAGGACUACACUAAUCACAUAUUAAUCAAGGGGUUUGUUGCAGGUUGCUACAAUGUAAUGUAAUGGUAUUAUCAGAAGUUGACACUUCUUCUAUGCAAAUGAAAUUAUGUCAGCGCAUCCAGGAAAUGGAUGGUCGCCAGGGCGCGGGGCCGUAAGAUUCUUUCCCUGCUGAAACAGCCGAGCAGGGUUUUCAGUCUUACGCGCUGAUAUAAUUUGAAAUGAUCCAAGCUAUGGUAUGGUGUUUAGUGUUUGAUAUGAUGAUUAGGUUUUUAUGAAAGUAAGAACUUUCAAAGAGGGGACUGUGUAGGGGAAUCUCUUCAUACAGUUAGGUUAAGAAAUGUAGAGUAAUUAUCUUUUAGUAAGAAGCUACAAAUAAUCUAGGUUGGCCUGCUCCUGCAGCCCCACGACCAUGAGAUUGUAAGCAAGGCUGUCUUGCAGGAGCCCAAACUAUCUGUCUGUUGGAACAUGUAAUCUCUGCCAGGGUCGAGACGAACCUAAACAAAGUGUCGUGGAGCAGACAUGUCAUCAUGAGGGGCCUUCUGGAGAAUACACACACACACACACACACACACACACACACACACACACACACACACACACACACACACACACACACACACACACACACACACACACACACACACACACACACACUCACACAGGAUAAAAGAGAGUAGAAGUAAAGCUAGGGAAGCUUCCUUGGGUCUUGGUCGAGUCUCUGUUUGUCAUCUGUACUGAUUUCUACAUCUGUACUAUUAAAGACGCCCCAGGCUGUUCUUCAGAUCUCA